RNAcentral lists this ribosomal RNA (987 nucleotides) under Tetrahymena dugesiae. RNAcentral's name for it is "partial large subunit ribosomal RNA". It matches the Rfam family "Bacterial small subunit ribosomal RNA", at positions 549 to 1533 of the family's 1533-position model. The record is from RNAcentral. Lineage: Eukaryota; Ciliophora; Oligohymenophorea; Hymenostomatida; Tetrahymenidae.
AUUGACUGAGUGUAUUAAAUACCUAGGAUAUUAUAAAAUCUAUUAUUAACAUAUAAUAAAAAAUAUUGGUAAUAGUCUUUUAUAGAUGCUGAUUGUAAAUAAGUGAAAGAGACAUAUAGAACAACGAUUAAAUGUAGUUACACUAUAUAGCUUGCCAGAAACUCAGGUGUUUCUCUAUUUUCAAUUCUAUCUGAUGUAUGAAAGUAUGGGUAUCGAUAAGGAGUAGUUUCCCUAGUAGUCCGUACUGUAAAAAAUGAAUACUUUAUGAUCAAUAAGAUCAGGAAUAGCUAACGCAAAAGUAUUCUGCUUGGGGAGUAUUAUCGCAAGAUUAAAACUUAACUGAAUUGGCGGGAAUUUGUUCGAACGGUGGAACAUGUGGUUUAAUGCGAUAAUCCACGCAAAAUCUUACCAAUGUUUCAGGCUUUAUUAGUAGUAUAAUUAACGUUAUAGCUAAAAAAUGAAGUACGGAAUUGCAUGGCUGUCGUCAGUUCGUGCUGUGAAGUUUUGGAUUAAGUUCUUUUUAACGAAUGCAACCCUAUAAGUAAGUUUUUAUAAUAUAUUAACUAAUUAUAUAAUAUAUUCUUAUUUAAUCUGCAAGCGAAAUAGCUGAUAACUUUAUUAAUUAUUUGCAUGCAGGGGUUAUAGGCUGAAGUCAAGUCCCUAUGGUCUUUAUACGUUGGGCUACACACGUGUUACAAGGGUGAUUACAAAGAGACGCAACGGUGAAAUCUCUAGCAAAUCUCUAAAAUCCACCUUAGUUCAGAUUGUUUUAUGAAAAUCUAAAACAUGAAGAUGAAAUCGUUAGUAAUUGUAAAUUAUUAUGUUACAGUGAAAUAAUAGUCAAAUUUUGCACACACCGCCCAUCACGCUCGGAAAGCCGGUAUUAGUGGGAGAUUUAAAAGCCUCUACACAAGAGUUAGUGAGUAAUGAUCUAAUUGUAAAACUGUUAUUAUUUAAUGGUGUAAAUGAGAAGUAGUAUCAAAUCUA